CGACAUUCUGAACUCUACUAGCCAUGCCUGCCACCAAAGACGUGACUUUACAGUUAGCAGUGAUUUAGCCGACCUACAUGGUGUGAAGUGAGAGAAUAUCCACCGUUGAAUGUCAGAGCAUGUUAUAAGAGUUUCUGACCUGAAUAAUUCCACUGACAUCGCAACGUUGGAUGCUGGAUGAUUACAGAGAUCCCAGGAUCUCCUCAAAAUCCUGGGUUCAAAAUGAUGCAAGGACAAAGGUUCAAAGACUUCGUGUGCAAGAAUCCAUGCGACGUCUGGAUCCACACUACAACUACAAACUCUUCGGCGUAGAAGAUAUUCUGUGCCAGCCCCCAACAGUCAAAGGCAUAUCUAUGGCAACCAUAAACUCAUAAAUUAAGGCUCUAUGUUGGGGAACUAGGAAGGAAGUACAAAAAUAAAUUAAGACCAUAUUUUUUUCACCCAUUUUGGAAAGGUAAACCCGUAUAUAAUAUAGAACAUUUUAAAUUAAGUUUAAAUAUUUCAUGCUUUUAUUUUUUAUUACGCGCUAGGAAUCAAUUUUGAUUGGGAGUGCUUUCGCUGCCAGCCUCUCCCAGUCAAAAUGGAUUGGGUGUCAAGCGCUGUCAAUGGCAGCCAAUGAGUUAAAUGUUGAUGUUUAUGGCUUGCAAAAAAAAAAAAGAAA
Long non-coding RNA from Corythoichthys intestinalis (scribbled pipefish), 661 nucleotides. RefSeq lists it as uncharacterized. The transcript has 3 exons. Lineage: Eukaryota; Metazoa; Chordata; Actinopteri; Syngnathiformes; Syngnathidae. The record is from RefSeq and is a predicted model, not a curated record.